GAAAUGGGCAGUCAGACAGAAG
This 22-nucleotide unclassified non-coding RNA is filed under the name Mus musculus (house mouse). RNAcentral describes it as "oocyte_clustered_small_RNA10264". Lineage: Eukaryota; Metazoa; Chordata; Mammalia; Rodentia; Muridae. The record is from RNAcentral.